GAACCCGCCUGCAGAGGCAGCAGCCACAGGAGACUGCGGGGUUCGGUCCCCGGGUGGGAAAGAUUUGCCUGGAGAAGGAAACAGCAACCCACUCCAGUGUUCCUGCCUAGGCGAUUCCGUGGACGGAGGAGCCAGGUGGGCUACGGUCUGGAUUCGCAGUUUCUGGGUGAAUCGGGGCCAGUGAGGUGAUCUCAGGGCCUCACGGGGGCCCCCCAGCGGCUGGAACCCUCCCCGACGCAGCCCCGUCUCCGUCCCCUAGUCGUGCCUGGCCACCUUCAGCGCUCAUCUGUGCGCCGGUGAGUUUUCCUGGAGUUUGCACCAGGAGACUGCGUUCAAAGCAUCUCCCCGCCAAGUGGUCGCACCUGCAAUGCAGGAGCCGCAGGAGACCCGGGUUCCAUCCCUGGGUCGGGGAGAUCCCCUGGAGACAGGCAUGGCAACCCACUCCUAUUCUUGCCUGGAGAAUCUCCAUGGACAGAGGGGCCUGGCGGGCUGCCGUCCGUGGGGUCGCAAAGAGUCGGACACCACUGACUGAGCGCGCUCGCACGCCCUGCCUGUCUGAAGCUUUUCCUGUCUCCUCGGCGCCCCUCACCCCCGAAAGAGGAGGACACACGCAGCCCUCCUUCGCAGGCUCUCACCCUCGUAAAGUCCUUCCCCGGCGGCGCCCCGGGUUCCAGACAACGCGCGUAAGUCAGACACUGGACGCACCUGGAAAGGCCGAUGAUGCCCGUCAGCAGUGUGGACGCAGCCCGGGGCUGAAUCCGAACGCGCGGCAGCUGUGCGUCAGACCGAGCCUGGCGUCAGGAAGCCUCCGUCCCGCCGCCCCCGAAGGAGCCCGGGGUGGGUGUCAGGGCGCGACCCGGACGCCCGCAUCGCCGCCGUGUGGGGCGCGCACAUUGCGCGCGGGCUUUGCACGCUCGGCAGAUACAGAGCCUCGAAAGGUACCCCCUCCCCGGCUCCGGGCUGCCGCCGUGGAGACCCAGGGCUCACCCUGGACUCCUUACCUUAUGGGACAGCUCCAUUAAGGCUGCAGGUGUCUCCGACUCUGACUCCAACUCCAACUGGACUCACUUGCCUCCUUCCUACUCCAGAGUGUCCCUUCCGCUGUUGGUUUCCUCUGGCCACCUCACCCAGUGGCCAGAGCCUGGGACCUCAGGCUCCCUCAUAUCCCCGUAAUCCAACCGGACACCCCUUGAUCAAGC
This 1199-nucleotide long non-coding RNA is filed under the name Cervus hanglu yarkandensis (Yarkand deer). Its description in RNAcentral is "lncRNA (ENSCHYG00000020197.1)". The record is from RNAcentral. Lineage: Eukaryota; Metazoa; Chordata; Mammalia; Artiodactyla; Cervidae.